This 2427-nucleotide ribosomal RNA is filed under the name Triticum aestivum (bread wheat). RNAcentral's name for it is "partial small subunit ribosomal RNA". Lineage: Eukaryota; Viridiplantae; Streptophyta; Magnoliopsida; Poales; Poaceae. The record is from RNAcentral.
AUGGCGAUCCACAGCGAGCCCUCUUCCUCCGAUGCGAGCGGGAAGAAGGACUACUCCAUGGCGAUUCUGGCGAGAAAGAAGUCGCCGAACCGGCUGGUGGUCGACGAGGCCACCGGCGACGAGAACUCCGCCGUCGCUCUGCACCCGGACACCAUGGACAGGCUGCAGCUCUUCUGUGGCGACACCGUCCUGCUCAAGGGCAAGAAGCGGAAAGACACGAUCUGCAUUAUGCUUCCAGACGACACAUGCGACAAGACCAAGAUCCGGAUGAACAAGGUCGUCAGGAAGAACUUGAGGGUCCGGCUCGGCGACGUCGUCUCUGUUCAUCAGUGCCCGGACGUCAAAUUCGGGAAUCGCGUGCACAUACUUCCCGUCGACGACACGGUCGAAGGAAUCACCGGAAGCAUGUUCGAUGCCUUCCUGAAACCAUACUUUCUCGAAGCCUAUCGACCCGUCAGAAAAGGGGACCUUUUCCUUGUGAGAGGCGGAAUGACAAGCGUGGAGUUCAAAGUUAUCGAGACUGACCCUGCAGAGUACUGCAUCGUCGCACCUGACACGGAGAUAUUCUACGAUGGCGAGCCUGUCAGGAGGGAGGAUGAGGAGAAGCUGGACGACGUCGGCUACGACGAUGUCGGUGGAGUCAGGAAGCAGAUGGCCCAGAUCAGAGAGUUGGUUGAGCUCCCACUGCGCCAUCCCCAGCUCUUCAAGUCCAUUGGUGUGAAGCCUCCAAAGGGCAUCUUGCUGUAUGGGCCACCUGGGACUGGCAAGACCCUCAUUGCUAGAGCUGUGGCUAAUGAAACAAGCGCCUUCUUCUUCCUGAUCAAUGGCCCGGAGAUCAUGUCGAAGCUGGCCGGAGAAAGCGAGAGCAACCUCAGAAAGGCGUUUGAGGAGGCCGAGAAGAACGCGCCGGCCAUCAUCUUCAUCGAUGAGAUUGAUUCCAUAGCCCCAAAGAGAGAAAAGACCAACGGAGAAGUCGAAAGGCGUAUUGUUUCACAGCUGCUCACUCUUAUGGACGGGCUUAAAUCACGUGCACAUGUUAUUGUUAUGGGUGCUACGAACCGCCCAAAUAGCAUCGACCCUGCUCUCAGAAGAUUUGGUAGGUUUGACCAGGAGAUCGACAUUGGGGUCCCUGAUGAAGUUGGACGGCUUGAGGUUCUCCGGAUUCACACUAAAAACAUGAAGCUUGCUGAAGAUGUUGAGCUGGAGCAUGUUUCGAGGGACACUCAUGGGUAUGUCGGUGCCGAUCUCGCUGCCCUUUGUACUGAGGCUGCUCUCCAGUGCAUUCGUGAGAAGAUGGAUGUUAUAGACCUCGAGGAUGACACCAUUGAUGCGGAGAUACUGAAUUCCAUGGCUGUCACGAACGACCAUUUCAAGAUUGCACUAGGGACAAGCAACCCAUCUGCUCUUCGUGAAACUGUUGUUGAAGUUCCAAAUGUCUCUUGGGAGGAUAUUGGUGGCCUGGAGGGUGUCAAAAGGGAGCUGCAGGAGACCGUCCAGUAUCCGGUGGAGCAUCCAGAGAAAUUUGAGAAGUUUGGUAUGUCUCCGUCGAAAGGUGUUCUCUUCUAUGGACCUCCGGGCUGUGGUAAGACCUUGUUGGCCAAGGCAAUUGCUAACGAGUGCCAGGCUAACUUUAUCAGCAUCAAAGGACCGGAGCUGCUUACCAUGUGGUUUGGUGAGAGUGAGGCCAAUGUGCGUGAGAUUUUCGACAAGGCUAGGGGGUCGGCGCCAUGUGUCCUCUUCUUUGAUGAGCUUGACUCAAUUGCCACUCAGAGAGGGAACAGUGUUGGUGAUGCCGGAGGUGCCGCCGAUAGAGUGCUGAAUCAGCUUCUUACCGAGAUGGACGGAAUGAAUGCCAAGAAAACUGUGUUCAUCAUCGGUGCUACCAACAGGCCAGACAUCAUAGACCCUGCCUUGCUUAGGCCUGGGCGCCUUGAUCAGCUUAUCUACAUUCCUCUGCCUGAUGUUGAAUCCAGGCUCCAGAUCUUCAGAGCCUGCCUCAGGAAGUCUCCCGUGGCCAAAGAUGUUGACUUGAAUGCUCUCGCCAAAUACACACAGGGGUUCAGCGGUGCAGAUAUCACUGAAAUCUGCCAGCGUGCAUGCAAAUAUGCCAUCAGAGAGAACAUUGAAAAGGACAUGGAAAAGGAGAGGAGGCGGAAGGAAAACCCUGAAGCCAUGGAGGAAGACGAUGUGGAUGAGGUCGCUGAGAUCAAGGCUGCUCACUUCGAGGAGAGCAUGAGGUAUGCACGCCGGAGUGUUAGUGAUGCUGAUAUUCGCAAAUACCAGGCCUUUGCUCAGACGCUGCAGCAGUCCCGUGGUUUUGGCAGUGAGUUCCGAUUCCCUGACCAGCCGAUGGCGGGUGCUACCGCUGCAACCGAUCCUUUUGCAUCCGCUGCCAGGGCAGCUGAAGACGAUGAUUUGUACAGUUAA